MicroRNA precursor from Oryza rufipogon (brownbeard rice), 277 nucleotides. It matches the Rfam family "MIR821 microRNA precursor family". Lineage: Eukaryota; Viridiplantae; Streptophyta; Magnoliopsida; Poales; Poaceae. The record is from Rfam.
GAUUUCAACUGAAAAAGUCAUCAACAACAAAGUUGUAUAACUCAUCAAGAUCUAUAACUUUUAUUUUUAUCAUUUCUUCAUCCGACAAAGUGAUAGUAACAUUGUUCACAAAAUUUACAUAUCUCUGAUAUUUGGUUUUAUAAACUAUAAGAGAGAUAUCUAAAUUUUGUGAAUAAUGUUACUAUCACUUUAUCGGAUGAAGAAAUGACCAAAAUAAAAGUUGUAUGUCUUGAUGAGUUCUACAACUUUUAUGUUCAUGACUUUUUCAAUAGAAAUU